CACGUAGGGCGCAAGCGUUGUCCGGAAUUAUUGGGCGUAAAGAGCUCGUAGGCGGUGUGUCACGUCGUUCGUGAAAACCUGCAGCUUAACUGUGGGCGUGCGGUCGAUACGGGCAUCACUGGAGUUCGGCAGGGGAGACUGGAAUUCCUGGUGUAGCGGUGAAAUGCGCAGAUAUCAGGAGGAACACCGGUGGCGAAGGCGGGUCUCUGGGCCGAUACUGACGCUGAGGAGCGAAAGCGUGGGUAGCAAACAGG
This 254-nucleotide ribosomal RNA is filed under the name uncultured bacterium. RNAcentral describes it as "partial 16S ribosomal RNA". It matches the Rfam family "Bacterial small subunit ribosomal RNA", at positions 524 to 776 of the family's 1533-position model. The record is from RNAcentral.